Molecule: long non-coding RNA, 1258 nt
Organism: Oncorhynchus tshawytscha (Chinook salmon)
Lineage: Eukaryota; Metazoa; Chordata; Actinopteri; Salmoniformes; Salmonidae
Exons: 3
Source: RefSeq, a predicted model, not a curated record
AAAUAAAUGUAUGCACGAUAGCGCACGCGCGCAGCCGGUGUGGGUUCCGUGUUAAGGGCAGAAGGACACAAUGCAACUAACGUUAUACAGACAGAGUGGGAGGAGAGGGAGGCAUUCCAUCACCAUCAUAACUGUAGUUUUUGUAUCUAAAAAAAACAAGUUCUACUCGUAAUCCUAUCUAAUUCGUUAGCGAGUUUGCUCAAUUUACAUAUAGCAUGUUAUUUAGCUCACUGUUGGACGGUAGCUACUUUGGGCGAGGGAUGCAGACCGAUUCUCCUCGGACGCGGUGGUAGAAGCGUUGCUGAGAGCCAAUUGGCUAUCGAACGGCCAAUGGCGUGAGACGUGGGUCUUGAUAGAUUGGGAGGUCACCGAAAUAAUAUUUCUGUUUGUGCGGUUACAAACGGAUUACGCUUCGAACAUACCGACUGGGUCAUUGCCACAGUGCUGCAUAACAUUUUGCGCAGCUAGGCAACUAUACCGAGGCAGGUAUAUUUUGCCAGACGGUCGAAUGCGGUUGGACACAUGGAGAGAAUCAUUUUUGCAGUAUCCUCAAAACCGGCUUUUUGACACAACUGCUGAAAGCUACAGGGACAUAAACACAAAAAAUGCUGCGUGUCCACGAUAGUAGGAUUGCCAGGAUGUGGCCGUGGAGACAAAUGAGGAGAGAAACAUGGAGAAAUGAAGAGGAACGUCCCCAGAUCCACUCAACUCAUUUCAGCAGAGGCUCCUCAAAGCCAUCGAGAGGAUGCAGCCCAACCUGAUCCUCACAUUAAGGAGGAUGAAGAGACCCUCUUUGCCAUGAGCCUGUUGCCAACCCUGAAGUGGCUGCCUCAGCAAAGAAAAGCACCAAUCAAGGUUAAAAUUCGUUAGCUGCGUUUUGAUGCAGAGUUCAAUGAGAGAGUUAAUUUAGCCGACCAGCACAUUCACUUUUCAUUUUUUCAGACACACACCACUCCUCUCUGUCCCUCAGAUCUCCAGUGCCCUGCCCUUUCUCUCUUUAUGGCCAUGUCUGAAGUUCCUUACUACGUCUAGGCUUUGAGUAGUCCCUGUAUCUGUCUGCAGCUGUGCCAAAAAUACCUGCUCUUUUUGUUCUCUUACAGGCUACACAUUAAUUGUUGUAUUUUUACAUGCGCACACACACACACACACACACACACAACUCUUUCAAUAGUUUUUAUUUUUUGUAACAGUUUUACAACACAUACCUGUCAUGUUCUUUCCUGGACUUCAAUACUUAUUAAAUUCUAAUGUUUUCAUA